Molecule: long non-coding RNA, 604 nt
Organism: Capra hircus (goat)
Lineage: Eukaryota; Metazoa; Chordata; Mammalia; Artiodactyla; Bovidae
Exons: 3
Source: RefSeq, a predicted model, not a curated record
GGUGGCUCCGAAAGCGGACAGCGGAGAAGGGCUGUGCCAGUCACGUGCGUUUCUUCUCUCCGAAUUUCCUCUCGGUCAGACCACCCCAUCCUCCCUGAGCAGAGGGCGGCACAGCUCAGGGCGUUGCGUGAUGAGCAGACGGAUGCUAUGCGUGCGGAUGGAGCCGCAGUGCCUCACCAGAUGGCUCAGCGCAGUUUUCCAGAGUGUGAACAACGCUAUGAAGGAGAAUGAGCCGAUCCCGAAAAUGGGAAAUAAUGCAACAGAGGACACGAACACUCAUCAGCCAUCUGAGACGGGUGGACGGAAGCAAAAGCCUAGCGCCAGAAGGAAACCUGGGAACGGGCCUGGUUCACCCCUUGGCUCCCGGACCACACCUAAACCCUUAAAGCCCUUAGGAGCCUACUGGGCUGAAGACCUCCAAAGACAAUGCCUAAUCUGCCUUAGAAACUCAGUGUUUCUAAGAAUACUCGCUGCCAGGAAGUUCGCCGUUGUGAGUAAGUUUGGGCUCCCCUCACACCCAUUUCCUCCAGCUCUGAGCUCGGGUGGAGAGGGACUCUGGGUACACGGUCCAGCCCGGCCACACGGGUCGGCACCAGCCCAGCCC